GAUGAACGCUGGCGGCGUGCCUAAUACAUGCAAGUCGAGCGAAUAGACGAGGAGCUUGCUCCUCUGACGUUAGCGGCGGACGGGUGAGUAACACGUGGAUAACCUACCUAUAAGACUGGGAUAACUUCGGGAAACCGGAGCUAAUACCGGAUAAUAUAUUGAACCGCAUGGUUCAAUAGUGAAAGACGGUUUUGCUGUCACUUAUAGAUGGAUCCGCGCCGCAUUAGCUAGUUGGUAAGGUAACGGCUUACCAAGGCGACGAUGCGUAGCCGACCUGAGAGGGUGAUCGGCCACACUGGAACUGAGACACGGUCCAGACUCCUACGGGAGGCAGCAGUAGGGAAUCUUCCGCAAAGGGCGAAAGCCUGACGGAGCAACGCCGCGUGAGUGAUGAAGGUCUUCGGAUCGUAAAACUCUGUUAUUAGGGAAGAACAAAUGUGUAAGUAACUAUGCACGUCUUGACGGUACCUAAUCAGAAAGCCACGGCUAACUACGUG
This 497-nucleotide ribosomal RNA is filed under the name uncultured bacterium. RNAcentral describes it as "partial 16S ribosomal RNA". It matches the Rfam family "Bacterial small subunit ribosomal RNA", at positions 28 to 507 of the family's 1533-position model. The record is from RNAcentral.